RNAcentral lists this transfer RNA (71 nucleotides) under Camelus bactrianus (Bactrian camel). It matches the Rfam family "tRNA". From Rfam's summary of the family: Transfer RNA (tRNA) molecules are approximately 80 nucleotides in length. Their secondary structure includes four short double-helical elements and three loops (D, anti-codon, and T loops). Further hydrogen bonds mediate the characteristic L-shaped molecular structure. tRNAs have two regions of fundamental functional importance: the anti-codon, which is responsible for specific mRNA codon recognition, and the 3' end, to which the tRNAs corresponding amino acid is attached (by aminoacyl-tRNA synthetases). tRNAs cope with the degeneracy of the genetic code in two manners: having more than one tRNA (with a specific anti-codon) for a particular amino acid; and 'wobble' base-pairing, i.e. permitting non-standard base-pairing at the 3rd anti-codon position. The record is from Rfam by way of RNAcentral. RNAcentral also lists the same sequence under 2 other names. Lineage: Eukaryota; Metazoa; Chordata; Mammalia; Artiodactyla; Camelidae.
GAGGGUAUAACUCAGUGGUAGAGACAUGCUUAGCGUGCACGAGGUCCUGGGUUCAAUCCCCAGUGUCUCCA